GCAACCCCAGGUGAGGCCGGAUUACCCGCUGAGUUUAAGCAUA
Molecule: ribosomal RNA, 43 nt
Filed under: Begonia formosana
Lineage: Eukaryota; Viridiplantae; Streptophyta; Magnoliopsida; Cucurbitales; Begoniaceae
Description: partial 28S ribosomal RNA
Source: RNAcentral